This 597-nucleotide ribosomal RNA is filed under the name Salmonella enterica subsp. enterica serovar Typhimurium. RNAcentral's name for it is "bacterial LSU rRNA". It matches the Rfam family "Bacterial large subunit ribosomal RNA", at positions 337 to 838 of the family's 2925-position model. Lineage: Bacteria; Pseudomonadati; Pseudomonadota; Gammaproteobacteria; Enterobacterales; Enterobacteriaceae. The record is from RNAcentral.
AGCGUCUGGAAAGGCGCGCGAUACAGGGUGACAGCCCCGUACACAAAAGCGCAUGUGCUGUGAGCUCGAUGAGUAGGGCGGGACACGUGGUAUCCUGUCUGAAUAUGGGGGGACCAUCCUCCAAGGCUAAAUACUCCUGACUGACCGAUAGUGAACCAGUACCGUGAGGGAAAGGCGAAAAGAACCCCGGCGAGGGGAGUGAAAAAGAACCUGAAACCGUGUACGUACAAGCAGUGGGAGCCCCACCACUAAGCCAGUGGUGAACUCCACAUCCGCAUCCUUUGCUGAGGAUACGGUUAACGGAGCGAAAGCGACGUUCAACCGCAAAACAAGCAGAGGGGGCUUAGUGGUGGGGUGACUGCGUACCUUUUGUAUAAUGGGUCAGCGACUUAUAUUCUGUAGCAAGGUUAACCGAAUAGGGGAGCCGGAGGGAAACCGAGUCUUAAUUGGGCGUUAAGUUGCAGGGUAUAGACCCGAAACCCGGUGAUCUAGCCAUGGGCAGGUUGAAGGUUGGGUAACACUAACUGGAGGACCGAACCGACUAAUGUUGAAAAAUUAGCGGAUGACCUGUGGCUGGGGGUGAAAGGCCAAUCAAAC